This 301-nucleotide ribosomal RNA is filed under the name uncultured bacterium. RNAcentral describes it as "partial 16S ribosomal RNA". It matches the Rfam family "Bacterial small subunit ribosomal RNA", at positions 509 to 807 of the family's 1533-position model. The record is from RNAcentral.
CAGUAGCCGCGGGAAUACGUAGGGCGCAAGCGUUGUCCGGAAUUAUUGGGCGUAAAGAGCUCGUAGGCGGUCUGUCGCGUCUGGUGUGAAAUCCCGAGGCUCAACCUCGGGCUUGCAUCGGGUACGGGCAGACUAGAGUGCGGUAGGGGAGACUGGAAUUCCUGGUGUAGCGGUGGAAUGCGCAGAUAUCAGGAGGAACACCGAUGGCGAAGGCAGGUCUCUGGGCCGCAACUGACGCUGAGGAGCGAAAGCAUGGGGAGCGAACAGGAUUAGAGACCCCCGUAGUCCCUGUCUCUUAUAC